AAGGUUUUAAGUUAAAAAAACUAGUAACCUUCAAAGUUUCUUAUAAGAGAAUAAACCUCUUAAACCUUA
This 69-nucleotide transfer RNA is filed under the name Typhlatya pearsei. Its description in RNAcentral is "tRNA-Trp". The record is from RNAcentral. Lineage: Eukaryota; Metazoa; Arthropoda; Malacostraca; Decapoda; Atyidae.